This 731-nucleotide ribosomal RNA is filed under the name Rhopalomyia pomum. RNAcentral describes it as "12S ribosomal RNA". The record is from RNAcentral. Lineage: Eukaryota; Metazoa; Arthropoda; Insecta; Diptera; Cecidomyiidae.
AAUAAUAUUAUAUUUAUAUAUUUUAAAAAAAAAAAAAAAAAAUUAUAAUUUUAUAUAAAAUUAGAUAAAUGAUAAAAUUAAUUAAAAUAUAUUCAAUAUUAUAUUUUUAAUAAUAAAUAUUUUUAUUAAAAUUUAAUAAAAAUAAUAAAAGUUAAUUUAAUGAUAUAAAAAAAAAAAGUGCCAGCAUUUGCGGUUAUACUUUUUAUUUAAAUUUUAAAAUUUAAAAAAAAAUAAAAAUUUAUAAAUAAAAAGUGAAAUUUUAUUAAAUUAUAUAUUAAUAUUAUAUAAAAAACUAGGAUUAGAUACCCUAUUAUUUUAAAUAAAAUAAAUUAUUAUUAUUUUAAAUAAAAAAUUAAAUAGAAUGGCAGUAUUUAUUAAAAUUAGAGGAUUUUGUUAAAUAAUAGAUAAUACACUUUAUAAUUUAUUUAAUUUUUAUUUUAUUGUAUAUUGUUGUAAUAAACUAAUAUAAAUUAAUUUUAUUAUUAGUUAAAAUUUUAUUUAAAAAGUAAUUCAAAUAAAUAUGCAUAUCAUAAUUAAAAUUUAAAUGAAAUACAAUUUAAUAAUAAUUAUAAAUGGAUUAAUUUUUUAAAAAAAAUUAUAAAAUUGGAUUUAAUAGUAAAGUUUAAUAAAUAUUAAAUUUGAAUUAAUUAUUAAAUAUGUACAUAUUGCCCGUCGUUUUUAAUUAAUUAAAAUAAGUCGUAACAUAGUUAAUAUAUUGGAAAAUAUAUUUA